Heterocephalus glaber (naked mole-rat) is the source of this 1787-nucleotide long non-coding RNA. RefSeq lists it as uncharacterized. The record is from RefSeq and is a predicted model, not a curated record. NCBI's taxonomy places the organism in Eukaryota, Metazoa, Chordata, Mammalia, Rodentia, Bathyergidae.
CUUCAAUUCUUUUUUUUUUUUUUUUUUAGGAUGGGUGCUUUUAAAUUGACAGUUAACAUUCUUGGAAGCAACAGUUUAACAACAGAUGGGUAAUAUAACAACAACAGAUAUAAAUGAUGCAUUUAUAAAUGAUUAACAACAGAUAUAAAUGAUGCAUUGCUUAAAGUAUAACACACAGUAUACUUGAUUACAAAUUAUAUCCAGUCUAUAAAAAUUGAAUACAUACUGUAUUUUAAUAAUCACAACAGGUCAGCUGUUUUUCUGGAGUAUGUUUCAAACAGAAUUGGCAUAUAACCCACACAUAACAGUAUUGCUGUGAUUUUUAGCUAUUUUAUUUAAGGGUCCAAAAUACAUUGGGUUCAUGAAAUAACACUAUUUGUGAAUGUUCACCAGUUUUUUAUUUAUAUUCCUUCAAAAACACUCCAUACUGGUCUUCAUUUCUUUAUGGUAUUUUUUGAUUCCUAGCAGUUCUUAUUGUUUCUUAGAAUUUCUGUUGCUGCUUAUAUUACCCAUCUGUUCUUGCAUGUUGUCUACUUUUGCCAUUAGUUCCUUAUGCACAUGAAGGUACAGUUACUCUGAAUUCAUGGGGUGAUAAUUCCAACCUUCCCGACGUAUAAGCACCCCCCCUGCCCCCAUGUAGUACACCUUGUAAUGUUGCUGUUGGAAGCCAGUCCUGACAUGUUGGGUGCAAGGAGGUAUGGUAGGUAGGUCUGUAGUGAUGGAUGAUAGGAUGGUAAGCAGCAGAAGAGACCUGUGAUCAGGGCUCUGUCUUUCAGUGACUCUGGGCCUUUGGGCUGCAUACUACACUGCUGCUUUUCAGCUUCUUUUUUUUUUUUUUUAAUCAAGGAUCGAACUCAGGUCCUUGUGCUUGCAAGGCAGGCACCGGAACCACUGAGCUAAAUCUCCGGCUCAGCUUUACUUUUUUAGGUGGGACUGGAUGGUUAGAGGGGGCUGUAUUUUGAUAUUUACUUUCCCCAGGUUUGUUAGGCUCCAAUAAAACCCCAGUCAGUUAGGCUCUGGUAAAAUAGUUUUGUUUGAGGCCAGGCCUUGUUAUGAUCAGAAUGUUCUGAAAUAUUUCAAAAUUAUACCAUUGCUUUCCUCUCCCCUUAUACAUUAAUGUUUUUCCUUCUCCUAUUGAGAGCCAGGGGAUUUUUCUUUUCUUAUCUUGGCUAGGAUGACUUGGUGGAGCUCCUGGAGGCCCACAAGUGUGGGCACCCUCCCUAAUAGCUGCCCUCCUGGAACUGUAACUCUCAGGCCUGAGCCCAUUGAACCUCCACUAACUCAUCCCACGGUGGUGCUGGGUCCUACAGAUUCCUGCCCCUGGAUUUCUGCUCUGGAAGUACCGUGAGGGCAGGUUCGCCGGAAGGGUACAUCUUGAGCUUGUAACAGCAUCCAGCCCUGUUCUGUGGAAUUUUAAAAGGAGGAAAAGAAGCUUUUAUUUUCACAAUAAUGCGCACCUGAAUUAAGUAAAAGUGGAUUAAAAAAUCCGAUUGGUGUGGUGGCACAUGCCUGUAAUCCCAGCGCUUCGGAGGAGGUUGAGGCAGGAGGAUCAACGGGAGUUCCAGGCCAGCCUGGGCUACAGAGCGAGUCCCUAUCUCAAAACAACAACAACAACAACAACACCAAAUAAAAACCAAAAGCCCAAAAUCCCAUUUGAAUUUUGGAUUUUUAAAUUUCUUCUUUCACAUGUAUAAAUUUAUGCUUGAGUAUAAAAACUUACGAGUUAUGUCUUCUUGAGUGAAUUUUAACUUUUAUUAAUAAGAGAAGUUUUUAUGUCCCUUUAUACU